GCGGGGAGGAAGGGAACAUCACAGGGCUGCCAUUUUGCACAACUCCAGGGUCACGCCCCCCACAGAGAAGAGAGGCCAGCGCCGGGCCGGUUCUAAAGGCCCGUUGAAAGGAGAUUACGCAGGACCCUCCAGGCAGGUUGGCGGGGGAAGGAGCUGGGAGAGACGAUGGCUGACACAGAGCCCAUCCUCUGGGGAGUGGAAGCUAUCCCAAGAUCUGGGGGGCCUGAGGAUCGGCGAUGGAGGCAAAACCCCAGGAGGCUUGAUCCUGGGUAGGGAGCGGCCGGUCUGAACCGAGACACCUGCACCAAAGCUUGGCACAGGGUCUUGCCAGCCUUGCGGGGGGGGGGGGGGGUUCCACAGGCUUGAACAUUAGUGUAACCAGUGUAGACCAAAGGCCAGAAGGCCCCCCUCAACCAAAAAUCCCGCAACCUUUGUACCAGACUGAAAAGAGGAAACCGAGUUAUGACCCAGCAUGAAACGCCGUCCUCUGAACACAGACAAGUCUUGGGUCAGGAAUAAUUGGAAAAUUUCAGAAAAAUAAAGUGUUGUUCCCUAGCAUCCAUCUGUGGUGGAAAUUCAUACCUGCCCCAACCUGCAAGGAAAGGGAGGUGUUAUUUUAGGUGGAUGGCCAGAUCCUUCUGCAAUGAGUUGGCAAAACUCAAGGAGAGGGACACAAUCUUCGACAAGACCACCCUGAUCUCACACCGGCUGCAAGUUUGGGGGUCCCCAGGCCACCCUCACUUUUGCCCUUUUUAUAUUUCAGGAGCUAACAGGGAAAUGGAAAAAAAAAAUGAAAAGACCAAGGCUGAUCAAAAGUGUAGUUCUGGAAACAAGGGAAGCAAAGUUAAAGCUAUAAAGGAUGAUUUUUAGCCUGGAUUAAAAUUCUCCAGGGCGCCUGGGUGGCUCAGUCAAGUUAAGCGUCUGGCUCUUGAUUUCAGCUCAGGUCAUGAUCUCGGGUCAUGAUCUCUUGAUUGUGAGAUCAAGCCCAAGUCUGGCUCCGUGUGGAGCGUGGAACCUGCUUGGGAUUAUAAAUAAAUUAAACAAACAAACAAACAAACAAACAAACCUUAAAUCAAAUCAAAUCAAAUCAAUUCUCCAUCUUCUCCCCAGAAAACUUAUCCAUCCACAGCCUUCCCCAGGGCACCUAAGGACAACUCCAUGGCAUCAUUAGGACCUCAGGUUCUCGCCAUGUUCCUUCUCAGCCGUCCAUAGCACGAGACUCCCUGAUUGGCGAUUCCCCUCAUGGUCACAAAGUGGCUGCCACCACUCACUGAGGCAUGUUGGCCUAGUGGGGGAAGAAGCAGAGGGAAGAGCUGUUUACACCUUUUUGGUUCGGCCAGCUCUGAAUCAAUUGAGGGCGAAAGGAGAAAGAAUUACCACAAUUGACUUAGGCCAGUGGUUCCCAGAGUGCAGGUAAGGACCAGCGGCAUUCGCCUCACCUGAGAACCUGUUAGAAAUGCAAAUCUUCCAGCCAACCCCGGGAGCCGGCGUUUCCUAAGCCCUGCAGGGGAUUCUGAAGCAGGCUCAAACUGGAGAACCACUGCCUUAAGGAAAGGUCUUCGCCACCAUACUCAAGGUCCAGGCGUGUGGGUGGCUUCGGAGGAAGGUAUUUACCCAUGACAAAUGAAAACACCUGCCCACAUGUAAACGUGUGCCACAAAUGUUCGUAGUAGCCAAAGAUGAGAGGCGGACCAAGAGACCACCAACCAGUGGACAGAUAAAGUGUGUUCUCUCCAUGCAAUCGAGUAUGACUCGCGAACGACUCGUUCAGGCACAACUACGUGAAUGAAUCUCAAAGUUAUUAUGCUGAGCGAGAGAAGUCAGGCAACACCGAGCACAUACUGAACAAUUUCGUUUAUAUAUUUGUUUACUCCCGUGGGGAUUUUAUUUUUUAAGCAAUCUCUACACCCAGUGUGGGACUUGAACUCACGACCCCGAGAUCAAGAGUCUCACACUCCACUGACUGAGUCAGCCAGACGCUCCAAGGUAGGUUUCAUUCUGAGGGCCCUUUUCCAGACUUGCAGGUGGCUACUUCCUCACCAUGUGUUCACCUGUCCUUUUUGCGGGAGAGAAGGAGCUCUCUAGUGUCUCUUAGAAGGACACUAAUCCCAUUGGAUCAGAGCCCCAUCCUCAUGACCUCAUUUGACCUUAAUUACUUCUGUAAAGGCCUUAUCUUCAAACACCAUUCACUGCGGAUUAGGGCUUCAACUUGGGAAUCUGCGAAUUUAAGUGAGGGGAGGCAAACAUUCAGUCGUUAGCAGGCAUCAUCUCCGUUUUACAGGUGAGGAAGAUAAAGGACUGGGUCCUUACAGUGGUAAAUAAAUGAACGCUAAUCCCACCCCCUUGAGCUUACAGCCUGGUGGGAGAGACCAGGGUUAGAGACCAGUAGCUCGUCACCAUGGAGAAAAAGCAGAGGGAGUCCAUGAGGGUAGGGGCCGUGGAACCGCGUCUGGAAUGGGGAGUCAGAGAGAGAGAUUUUCCUGAGGAAGUGCUGGGUGGGCCUCUCCAUAGCGUGGAAAGGCUGUGUGGAACAAGGCACAUUCUAGAAAUUCAGGAAGUGCGGACAGGAUGAAGAAAGCCACGAAGGGCGAGGAGGCUGGAGAAGUGAGCUGGGGCCAGACCCCACGAGCAGGGAGAGGGUUUAGAUUGGCCCUUAAAGCAAUGGGGAGCCACUGAAGGCUUUAAGAAGAGGAGAAACAUCAUGGUAUUUACAGUUUUGUUUUGUUUUUAAUGAGGGUAAGCGUUAUUUAUUGAUUGAUUGAUUUUUCAUGUUUAUUUUUUAUUUAAAAAAAUUUUUUAAUGUUUAUUUAUUUUUGAGAC
This is a long non-coding RNA of Felis catus (domestic cat), 2820 nucleotides long. RefSeq lists it as uncharacterized. NCBI's taxonomy places the organism in Eukaryota, Metazoa, Chordata, Mammalia, Carnivora, Felidae. The record is from RefSeq and is a predicted model, not a curated record. The transcript has 3 exons.